RNAcentral lists this transfer RNA (90 nucleotides) under Staphylococcus aureus. RNAcentral's name for it is "tRNA-Ser". It matches the Rfam family "tRNA". From Rfam's summary of the family: Transfer RNA (tRNA) molecules are approximately 80 nucleotides in length. Their secondary structure includes four short double-helical elements and three loops (D, anti-codon, and T loops). The record is from RNAcentral. Lineage: Bacteria; Bacillati; Bacillota; Bacilli; Caryophanales; Staphylococcaceae.
GGAGAGUUGUCCGAGUUGGCCGAAGGAGCACGCCUGGAAAGUGUGUAGGCGCCACAAGCGUCUCGAGGGUUUCGAAUCCCUCACUCUCCG